AUUGAACGCUGGCGGCAGGCUUAACACAUGCAAGUCGAGCGGGGGAAGGUAGCUUGCUACCGGACCUAGCGGCGGACGGGUGAGUAAUGCUUAGGAAUCUGCCUAUUAGUGGGGGACAACAUCUCGAAGGGAUGCUAAUACCGCAUACGUCCUACGGGAGAAAGCAGGGGAUCUUCGGACCUUGCGCUAAUAGAUGAGCCUAAGUCGGAUUAGCUAGUUGGUGGGGUAAAGGCCUACCAAGGCGACGAUCUGUAGCGGGUCUGAGAGGAUGAUCCGCCAAACUGGGACUGAGACACGGCCCAGACUCCUACGGGAGGCAGCAGUGGGGAAUAUUGGACAAUGGGGGGAACCCUGAUCUAGCCAUGCCGCGUGUGUGAAGAAGGCCUUAUGGUUGUAAAGCACUUUAAGCGAGGAGGAGGCUACUCUAGUUAAUACCUAGGGAUAGUGGACGUUACUCGCAGAAUAAGCACCGGCUAACUCUGUGCCAGCAGCCGCCGUAA
This 500-nucleotide ribosomal RNA is filed under the name uncultured bacterium. Its description in RNAcentral is "partial 16S ribosomal RNA". It matches the Rfam family "Bacterial small subunit ribosomal RNA", at positions 30 to 523 of the family's 1533-position model. The record is from RNAcentral.